This 468-nucleotide ribosomal RNA is filed under the name uncultured bacterium. Its description in RNAcentral is "partial 16S ribosomal RNA". It matches the Rfam family "Bacterial small subunit ribosomal RNA", at positions 28 to 507 of the family's 1533-position model. The record is from RNAcentral.
GACGAACGCUGGCGGCGUGCUUAACACAUGCAAGUCGAACGGGAAGGCCCGGCUUUGGGGGGGUGCGCGAGGUGCGAACGGGUGAGUAACACGUGGGUAACGUGCCCUUGACUUUGGGAUAACUUCAGGAAACUUGGUGUAAUACGGGAUAGGAUCUCCUGCUGCAUGGUGGGGGUGGGUAAGUUUCGGCGGUUGGGGAUGGACUCGCCGCUUAUCAGCUUGUUGGUUGGGUAGUGUGUGAGCAAGGCUUGGACGGGUAGCCGGCCUGAGAGGGUGACAGGCCACAUUGGGACUGAGCUACGGCCCAGCCUCCUCCGGGAGGGAGCAGUGGGGAGUAUUGCAUAAUGGGCGGAAGCCUGAUGUAGCACAGCCGCGUGGGGGAUGACGGCCUUCGGGUUGUAAACCGCUUUCGCCUGUGCCGAAGCGUGAGUGACGGUAAUGGGUAAAGAAGCACCGGCUAACUCCGUG